UGGCGGCAGGCCUAACACAUGCAAGUCGAGCGGUAACAUUUCUAGCUUGCUAGAAGAUGACGAGCGGCGGACGGGUGAGUAACGCGUAGAAAUCUACCUAGUAGUGGGGGAUAGCCCAGAGAAAUUUGGAUUAAUACCGCAUACGCCCUACGGGGGAAAGCGGGGGAUCUUCGGACCUCGUGCUAUUAGAUGAGUCUGCGUCGGAUUAGCUUGUUGGUGAGGUAAUGGCUCACCAAGGCGACGAUCCGUAGCUGGUCUGAGAGGAUGACCAGCCACACUGGAACUGAGACACGGUCCAGACUCCUACGGGAGGCAGCAGUGGGGAAUAUUGCACAAUGGACGCAAGCCUGAUGCAGCCAUGCCGCGUGUGUGAAGAAGGCCUUAGGGUUGUAAAGCACUUUCAGCAGUGAGGAAAGGGGUGUCGUUAAUAGCGCCAUCCUGUGACGUUAACUGCAGAAGAAGGACCGGCUAACUCCGUG
This 479-nucleotide ribosomal RNA is filed under the name uncultured bacterium. Its description in RNAcentral is "bacterial SSU rRNA". It matches the Rfam family "Bacterial small subunit ribosomal RNA", at positions 37 to 507 of the family's 1533-position model. The record is from RNAcentral.